Molecule: long non-coding RNA, 2500 nt
Organism: Corapipo altera (White-ruffed manakin)
Lineage: Eukaryota; Metazoa; Chordata; Aves; Passeriformes; Pipridae
Exons: 3
Source: RefSeq, a predicted model, not a curated record
UCUCUUUAGUACUUGAUGUUCUGAGCCUGCCUCUCCUCUCCUUUUCCCAGCCCUGAGUUUUACCCUCACAUCACCUGGAAGCUGUUGGUUGAAAUAUUUCAUGCUCGGUUUAUAUGUAACGCUCAACAAGUGCACAGGACAGCUCUUAAAAGGUCACGUUUAUACAAAUCUGUAAUGCAUGUGUAUAAAAUAGAUCAGUUUAGAGUGAAUUCUGAACCUGUGUAAAACAUGGAAAGGUUUUCUUAGGGCAAUCCACUUUAAUGCUUGGUCAGAGGAGGCCUGGACCUCACCACCCUCACAAGGAAGAAUUCCUUCCCAAUAUCCCACCUAACCCUGCCCCCUGGCAGUGGGAAGCCAUCCCCCCUUGUCCUAUCUCUCCAGACCCUUGUCCUAAGUCCCUCUCCAGCUCUCCUGGAGCCCCUUCAGGCACUGAAGGGAGCUCUAAGGUCCCCCUGGGGUCUUCCCUUCUCCAUGUGAACAGCCCCAGCUCGCCAAUCCUGGCUCCAGAGCAGAGGGGCUCCAGCCUUUGGAGCAUCUCCAUGGCCUCCUCUGGACUUGCUCCAGCAGCUCUAUGUCCUUGUUAUGUUGGAAGCCCAAGAGCUGGAGGCAGCUCUGCAGGUGGGGUCUCACCAGAAUGGAAUUGAGUGGCAGAAUCACCCCCCUCGACCUGCUGGCCUUAAGCCCUCUCCCAUCUCUGCCCUUCCUGGGAAUGGCUGCAGACACACCAGCCAGCCAUGGAGCGGGGAGUGUGGGCUGUGCCUCCAGCUGCUCCAUCAUCCUGGCUCUGAGCAUGGAGGUGACACUUCUCCUCAGCAGCAGAUUCUCCCCUAGGCAGCUCUUCUCCGGGGCUGUUUGCCCUGACCAGGGAUGGGGAUUUUCCCAGCCGGAGUCCCUCGGGGUACAAGAUAAGGAGGAGAACUGCAAUUGCAGUUUCAGCUGAGGGGCUGUGAUUCACCUGGCUGACAUCACUCCAGGGCCGGUUACACCCCGGGGCUGUGCGCUGCCUAAUGGACUUCCUUCUGGGAAAAGCUACUCAGUCACUCAGCUGCUGAGAAGCAAAUCCUGAUGAUUCAGUGUUGCUGUAUGUGACUUAGAUGAGGUGAAUUCUUGUUCUGCGCUUAAAUCCAGAGGGGCAGGUGCUCAGCUGCUGAAUCACAUCUGCCUGUGAGCAGAUCAAUCCCCGCAGGGCAGGAGAGCCGUGGUAUUUACACCGUGGUUUACAAACCCUUAAUGCCUCUGUGCAGCCUCUCUGGUGAUUGCCCAUAUUAUGCUCAGUGCCUGCCAGUCCCUUCCCAAUGCAAACACCUAAUUAAUUCCCGUGCUUUUAAGGAAAUGAAGCCAUACAGAAAUAUGCCACCGGUAACAAAUUAUGUGGUAGCAAUGCCACCGAUUAAUGCUGCAGGAAAUAAUACUCUAUUUCAGAUGCUGAAUGGGUUUUUUUUUUGUUCUAAAUUAAUUUGCCAUCAUACAAUAAAUCACAGAAUGAAUCAUAAAACGGUUUGGGUUGGAAAGGACCUCAAAGAUCACUCAGUUCCAACCCCCCUGCCAUAGGCAGGGACAAAAAUACCAUCCUGCCUGGAAGUUGCUAAAUUAACAUGCAGACAUUGUCCAAAGGGCUAGAAGGGAAUUUUAUUUUUUUCCCCUCUUAUUUUCAUUAUCUGAGAGCAAAUAAGUGUAUAAGUCUGCAGUACCAUGGAUGGCUGUCCCAGUGCUCCCAGCCUCCAGCACACCUCCCAUCCCAGCGCUCCCAUCUUGCCUCUCCAGGAAGCUGAUGGAUACUGCAGGAUUUCUAAAAACCAGCAGCUGCCAAGACACCAUCAGUCCCUACUGGAAUUGUGAUUACCUCCUUGCCCAGGUGAUGCAGAAGCUUCGGAUGUUUCCCAUGCAGGGCCAUCAGAAGUGAUCUCAGGACAUCAGCCAGGGAAGACCAUCAAUGCCAGGGGUUAAUGAGGCUGAGAACAGAGACUGUUGGGUGUCCAGCUAAUCAUCAGGAGGGGAGAGCUGGCUGGGUACAACGGUUCUUCAGCAGGGGCUCCUGCUUCCACAGCUCCAGGUGGUGUGGGCAGGGCUGCAGCUGAGGGUAGGUUACGUCCCUGGGACACUGGGCACAUCAGCACAUUCUGCUGGUUCAAAUGCAGAAGAGCUCAGUUGAGAAAAUGUGAAAUGAAGCCUGUUACUGGUCUAAACCCAGCUCUGAAAAUGAAAGUAACCACUUCUACAAGUUUAAAACCGGUGCCAUGUAGCAGCUCGGUGAGUCUACUCUCACCCAGAAGGACAUUGGGUGUAUUCCUGGUGGGCUCUCAGCAGCUGGGAUGUCUGGAAGGAGCAGCACAGCAGCAUCGAGAUGCUUCACCUGCCACCCAAACCCCACUGUGGGUAGUGAGAAAUGAAUUUGCUAGUGUGGAAAAUCUGGGCAUUAUUGAGAAGUUAAGUCAGUCUCCAACUGGAUUAAUUCACUGCUGGUAGCUGGAAAAAUUAAUAAAGUGCAGAUCUGAAUCAA